Molecule: ribosomal RNA, 253 nt
Filed under: uncultured bacterium
Lineage: Bacteria
Description: partial 16S ribosomal RNA
Rfam family: Bacterial small subunit ribosomal RNA
Source: RNAcentral
UACGGGGGGGGUAAGCGUUGUUCGGAAUUACUGGGCGUAAAGGGCUCGUAGGCGGCCAACUAAGUCAGACGUGAAAUCCCUCAGCUUAACUGGGGAACUGCGUCGGAUACUGGAUGGCUUGAAUUCGGGAGAGGGAUGCAGAAUUCCAGGUGUAGCGGUGAAAUGCGUAGAUAUCUGGAGGAAUACCGGUGGCGAAGGCGGCAUCCUGGACCGACAUUGACGCUGAGGAGCGAAAGCUAGGGGAGCAAACGGG